Molecule: long non-coding RNA, 1124 nt
Filed under: Mus spretus (western wild mouse)
Lineage: Eukaryota; Metazoa; Chordata; Mammalia; Rodentia; Muridae
Description: lncRNA (ENSMSPG00010047052.1)
Source: RNAcentral
AGUUGAUCUCCCACCAACAAUAUGGCUGAAUUGGGGCUCUGUCUUAGUUGCUUUCCUGUUACUUUGGUCACACACCCUGACCUCAGACAACUUAUAGAAGGAAGAGUUUAUUAGGUUCCAGAAGGUAAGAGGCAAUGACUGUCAUGGUGGGAAACAUGGCAGCAGGCAAACGGGCAUGGCGCUGGAACAGGAGCAUCUUGAUCUACAAGCAUGAAGCAAAGAAAAAGCUAACUGAGAAUGCUAUGGACUUUUGAAACUUCAGGGCCUGGCCCCAGUGACACAUUUCCUCCAACAAGGUCACAUCACACUUCCUAAUCUGUCCCAAGCAGUUUUACCAACUAGGGAUCACCCAUUGAAAUACAUAAGUCUACUGAAGCCAGUCUCACACUCAAAAUUCCAGAGGCUCUUUUCAUCUUUACUCUUCCCUACUUCUCUCCUCUCCUGUCUGCCUUCAGAGCUUUGACCCACAUCUAAGUUAUACUAUCUCCUAGUGUUUUAAACUUAAUUAUUACACCUCCCUUCCAAAGACCAAGAGUGUGUCUAAUAGUAUCUUGAAAAGAAAGUUGCAAAGCUGCCAUCCCAGCCUCCAGUUGAAGAGGAAGCAGUUCCACCUCUCCCAAUGGCUUCAGUGGUUAUCCGUGGUACCCUUUCCCUCUCCCCACUCAUCCACAGGGAGGUCUAUGACUCCAACUCCAGACUCAUCCAAUUCUUCCACUCUCUCAAGCCAAACCAUCGCCCUCUUUCUCUUGGACUCCCCAGCCUCCUUGCUCUCCUCUGCUUUCUUCUUAUUGUCCCCUAAGAUGCUUCCUAGGAAGCCAGAGGAAUUAAGUGUGAACAACUGCAUAGAAUAAUGGUGUCUCAAAACUUAAGUCCCAGCCUGCAUAUUGUGUUGAAUUAAAGUCACCAUCAAGUCAACAAGGCAAGGAAAACAGAGCCAUACAGACUGGAAAGGAAAUUCCAAGAAAGUAGUACAUACCUCUAAUACCAGUACAAAGGAGGUGGACACAAGAAGAUUGUGAGUUUAAGGCCAGCCUGGGCUACAAGGCCCUCCUGCACAAAAGAGAAAAGGAAUGAAGAGGAAGGAAAGAUUGGAAAGGAAGAAAUAAAGCUGUUGCUAGUCACAG